GAAACAAAAAGAGGGGUCUUUGUUAUUCUUAUGUUCUAUUAUUUUUCUCUUUCAGAUUUAAAAUAUGUUUUUUUUUUCAAUUCAUGAUGUUCGUUGCCAAUUUUUAUUCACUUUUUUUUAAUAAGUUUGUGCUGUGAUUUUAUUUGUUUCAAAAUCGAUUGGAGAAGAGAGCAGUGAUUAUAAACCACAAGAAUCAAAAAAAUCUGAUUUGCUCAAUUUCUGGGCAUGAUAGACUUAUUAUACACCCAUAGAAUAUGAGCUCUCUUCUCAAACGUCUUUUUUUUUUUGAAAAACAAUUUCCAAAUAUUUACUAGCUAAUUUUUUUGUAUUCAAUAUACCUCUACCAUACUUGUAUGUGAAAUUUUAUAUUCUAAUUGUAAAGAACAGUUUCAUAAAGGCUAUACAAAAUGCCGACGGUGCGAUAAUCGUUGAACAUAAACACAACCACCUCCAUCAUUAUUGGAAGCAGCUUCAAACAUGUCCUUUCACAUCUGUUUGAUAUGAUAUUAAGAUUGGACAAUGCUUUAUGGUUUUGAGCCUUUUUGCCCGUCAUGUAAAAUUUUAUACGAACUGUAGUUAAAUCAUAUGACUAUUGCCACGUGAUUUUAAUCCAAGAAUCAUAUCUUGUGCUUGGACAAAGAAAUCAGUAAUCAUAUUUGGGCUUUAAAUUUGGAGACGGACAUGAACCUAAAAUGAAGUUGAUCUUUUUGCUGGUCCACUAGCAUAAACUAAAAAUAUGCUUGCAUCCAUGAUUAUCAUAACUUACAAAUUGUGUUUUAACUUGUACUAUAAUCACAUAAAAGCAAAGAAGCAAUUAGAUGUCGGAUAAUCACGUUAUUUCCAAGUCUUUUUCGGAUAAAAAGCUUUGAUCAUUUUUCUUGAGUGCGAAUCUAUAUUUUGUUUCUACUAAAUGGGGGUCGAAUAUUUUGCUGGUCCACUAGCCUAAACUUUUAUCUUUCUUACCUAUCGGUGAAAAAAUGCAUGCAUGCGCUAUUAUUACAUGCAUUGCGCUAUGUUAAGGACAAUAAAAAUCCAAUUAUCCCAAAAGUUUUACCAGUAAGCAUACGCUUCGUCCGUUCCUCACGUCUCCAGUUAGACGCACAAGCGGUAUCAAAAACCCACACAUGUUAUGUUUGACAAUAAACACUAGGAAGCUCUCGGCUAGUGAAAUUUUCUAAGCUUUGGAGAAGAAAGAAAAACGUUCACACACGUAUUUUGUCGGAUCUGAGAUCUUUGGUUACGAAAGUUUGGUAUGUAUGUAUGCUUUUCCUUGGUGGAGUUUUGUUUCUCGAUUCUAAUCUUAUAAUUAUUACUGGUUUUGAAAAGCAUUCAUACCAGAUAUUAGAUAUAUCUCCUCUCUGUUAUGUCUUUUUCCCUCCGUAGAAGGUAAUAGAAAAGUUCCACAAGAUUAAGUUGUAACACAUUCUCAACUAUUUGAUUCUUAAUUUAAUAUAUUUAAACUUUUUCAACAAGUUUUAAAUAUAUUUAAUAAAUUAGCCUGCAUUUGUUUCAUUUUAAAAUCUGAUAGACAAAUCAAGAAGAGGCACGUCUAAAGGUUAGAGGCAACUCUACAAGUCAAGAAGAGGCCUGUGCACUGCUCCCUCUCUGCUUGAUCUGAUUAAAUGUAUUAGGCCCAAUGAUAAAGUCCAUACGUUAAUUGAAAUGUAUAGGCACUAUAAGAAUGGCCCAGGUUACAUUAGGCAUAUAAGUUUCUCUCUUCACUUAGGCAAAAAACGGGCUAAUCUUAUGAUAUAUAUUAGAGUAGACACAGCAUAGGUUUUAUGAAUAUGGAAAACGAGGGGGGAGACACACAGACUGGUGUAAAGACAUAAACAUAAGUUGACCAUGCUGUUUGUUAACAUGGUGGUAUCUAAUGCAGGUGGGAGUAUUUUUCUUUAUUUCAUCAAAGUAUUUAUUUGGUUUAUCAUUGGCUUUGAUAUAGUCAUAUGACCUACCUAGGGGUGUCAAAAUGGGUUGUGAUUAAUGGAUUGAUUCAAGCCAAACCAACCCAUGGUUCUAAUGAGUUAAUAAUUUGGAUCUUAAUGGAUUAAUGGUUUUUAUGGGUUAGUGGGUUUAGUGAGUUGGAUUAAUAUUGGUUUGGAUCAAAAUGGGUUUAUGGGUUAUCCAAUCCAAACCAAUUUUUUCAUACACGUUGUUUCUCUUCGUCUUUCUCUCCCUUUUUUCUUAUCUCACGAGACUUGAUCUCUCUUUUUCGAUCUCGCUAGACCUUCAUCAUCGAUCACGACAUCGAUUCACACCUUUUGGGUCAUUGAUUUUGGGUUAUCAAUCACAACAAAGCAACUCAUCUUCCUUGUAUCACCAGCCUUUGCGUGUUUGUGGAACACUUGUAGCAGCAAGGUGUCAACAAAGAUGAUGAAUAAUGAAGAAGAUCUUCUAAACAGUGGUGGCCAAUCAUCCACAAGUGCAUCACAAAUAGCUCUAGUGAAAACAAUGGGCAGACAUAACAAGGGAAGUGAAUGAAACGAUGAAGUGGCUCGAUUGGAAUUAGAGACUUUUGUUUGUGUUCUAUUAUCAAACGACGAGAGUUCUUGUUAAUGUGUAAUGGUGGAGACUAGAGAGGCAAUCUUGUUUUUCUUGCUAGACAUUUGAUUUUCUGUUAUUUCAAAUAUUUUGAUGAGUUAUAUUAUAUAACUUGAGAAAAGAAAAUUAUAUAAUUUGCUAAUUUUUGAUUAGCAUUUUUAAU
Long non-coding RNA from Brassica napus (rape), 2704 nucleotides. RefSeq lists it as uncharacterized. The record is from RefSeq and is a predicted model, not a curated record. The transcript has 3 exons. NCBI's taxonomy places the organism in Eukaryota, Viridiplantae, Streptophyta, Magnoliopsida, Brassicales, Brassicaceae.